This is a long non-coding RNA of Oreochromis aureus, 3220 nucleotides long. RefSeq lists it as uncharacterized. The record is from RefSeq and is a predicted model, not a curated record. The transcript has 3 exons. Lineage: Eukaryota; Metazoa; Chordata; Actinopteri; Cichliformes; Cichlidae.
ACAAGUGUGACAUCAGCGGUCAUGGAGAGUCUCCAUCCAGCUGGAUCACUGUCACAGACAAACACACCACCACACCUCCACCUACAUCCACAACUCUGGCUUCAUCCACUUCUCCUCCAUCACUGUCCUCCACUGCUCUCUCUGUGUUGUCAUUUCUUAAAUCGAUCUGUGGGUUCUUACUGGUGUUACUGGUUCUGUUAGGGAGGACACGUGUUCACAGGAAAACUGAAGUUGAUGGAGGAGACGUUAGAGAUGACAUCACGCACAGUCACAGAAAAUCGCAAGUCAUCAACAACAGCCAAUCAGAGGAAGCAAAGGUAGUUUUUAAUACACUGUGUGUUGGGGGUUCAUGUUAAUAUUCAGAGGAACUAUAAACGUUGGUUAAAGGAACACUGUGAACUCACUGGGCUUAAACUAAUAUGUCACACAACUUUAUGAAUACAAUAUUUCGAUAUGUACAAAAAGUCUCAAACAAAUUCAAACAUUGGUGACCUUGACCUCAGAUUCAGAUGUAAAGUUCUCUGAAAGUCUUUUUAAUGCAAAAAGUCAAAGAGGUCAUGCAGGAUUUCUUAAAACAAUGCCAUAGAUGUAUUUACUCAGGAAUAAUAGAUUAUCUACUGAUAAUCUCUGACCAUCUGGAAUUUGGCAACUUCAACACAAUUCAUGCACAUUUUAUUUUAAAUGUUUCUUAUUGUUUCAGUAUAAGAAACAAUGGAAACGUCAUAUAUAUAUAGUAGCAGACCUGUUUCAAUCUUUAAUAAAAUAACAUUCAAAACUUUUUCCCAGUUGACAUUCAGUGUUUUUUUCAUAGUAAUCACUCUCCUGCUCUAACUGGAUUUUGAUUAUAGAUUUUCAUUUCAACAUUAAAGUCUGGAAUAUUUUUAAACCUGGUAAAGGAUGACCUUGUAGUCCUGUCUUCCAGUACUUGUGCUCUCUGGAAUUUUUGUGCCACCUAAAGCCAGGAGAGAAGAAGAGGCCAACAGAGAGCAGAGAUCCUGAGAAAGCUGAAAGUUGGGAGACAGGAGAGAGAAGAGUUGUGUUAGGCUGCUUUUGGCCGACAGAACAGAGUUGUAUGUUCUGAGUAUGUAGGUGACCGUUAAUGAAUGCUGUUCUUUGCAUGUGUUUUUCAGCCUGUGGUUAGUCUGUUAACAGAAACUAACAGCUCUGUGGUCGUCAUGUUUCCUCUGUCAGAUAAAAAUACUUCAGCUGCUCAGGUUGUGCUGCAGGACUGUUAGUGUGCAAACAGAAUCACACUUAGUUCAGUUCUCCUCACAUACAGUGGCUUGCAAAAGUAUUCGGCCUCCUUGAACUUUUCCACAUUUUGUCACAUUACAGCCACAAACAUGAAUAAAUCUUAUUGGAAUUCCACCUGAAAGACCAAUACAAAAAUCAUACUUGAAGUAAAAUUUAAAUGAACUGCACCGAAUCAUCUCAAACUGUCCUAAAACCACAACAGCUCCUCCUGCUGUUUCCACUGAGCUGAAAAAUGAUGACAGACAAGGAUCUCUCCUCACUGUGCUGACCAUAAUGCACAGUAUAUACAGUGUGACAAAGUGUGGGUCUGUUUUGUACCUUCUGAUAAAAUGUUUUUUUCUUCUUAUAUUGUUUAACAUCAGCAAACAAAUAUAACAAGUGAGUCUUAUCCCCACAAAAAAGAACUGAUUCAAUUUUUAGGAAAUAUUUUCAUUGUGCUAAAUAGAAAGCAGUACUAAAUUGCUGUCUUUUUUUUUUUUAACACAAAUCCUUUUUAAUAUUACCACUUUUAUAACUUGUAGCAUGUCAUGUCCUCUGUGUGUGUUUUAUUGUACAGAGAGUGAUCCUCUUCCCGUCCACUCAGCCCUGAGAGCUGAAGAAAUCAUUUAUGGACAAACAGCUGUCUGAACAAACAGGCCCUGAGGUACAGCUGCUCUUUAUUUACUAAAAGCAGAAUAAUUCUUAUUUCAAAAUAUCACUGGUGUCAUUAUAUGAAUUAUAACUGUUACAUACUACAGUAAUGCUUUAUUGUCAUCAAGAAUUCUGAGAUCUGACUUUAUGUUUACUGUGCAGGACAGAAGAAAAGAGAUGUAUAUUGUACAUUAGUGUCAUCAUUAUUUUUAUUGAAAUGAUCUCAUGAGAAAUGUGUCCAAACCCUUUCACUGGUAAGGUCUGAAUUUAAAAUGUUCAAAGUACAAAAGUACAAAAGUAUAGGAUCAGCAGAAUUUGCCCAAGAAUGAAAGUAAAACUAGAGCUUAUGACUUAUAUCUGAUUUUAUCCUACUGUACAUUACAUUACUGUUCCUUGUAUUCAUGAGGAGAACAUGUCCACAACAGUCUUUAGUCUGUCCAUGAGACAACUACUACUAUUUUCAUAGAAGAGCUUCUUUUUUUUUACAAAGCAAUUUCUCUAAGUUUUUUUUUCCACACAGACAUAUUUUAAACUCCUGAUGUGACAUCAUAACAGUUCUGCCUGAUGGUUCAUGUAUCCUCUGCAAAAAUGAGGCUCUUAUCUUUUUAAUGUGAUGUAGGGUUUGUCUCUUUUGUUUAAUAGAAGUGAGCAUGCAGAUUAUUAAGUUGUUUUCCUUUGCCUCUGUUUCUUUUUAUAAAUAGUUGAAUAUCAUAAACUAUACAACAGCAUGUGACAGAUCUGACAAACUUAGCACGUCAAUUGUAAAAAUCACUUUUAUAAAGAUGAAAUCACAUCAGCAGCAUCCUCCACCUGUAAGCUGUAAACAUCUUGUAAACUGUAUGAACAUAGGAAGAUUUGUCCUCUCUAAGUAAUUGAUUUUAGUAAGUUUAUUUUGCAUUUUGUAGUUAACAUUUUUUGUGCGGCUGUUUUGGCUGUUAAUAGGUUAAACUUGACCUUAUAGUUGGGUGUGUGAUAGAGAGCAAAUUGAAAUCACUUUCAUGUCAAAAAUAUUGUCAGGUGCAGGUGCUGUGCAAUAUAAUACUUUACACUUUUUAUUCAUUAUUUAAUCCUUCACAUUUACGUCAUACUUACUUCAUGCUUAAUACUGAAACUUCUUUAAAUUCCUCCCAAAUUUAGAGCCGAUCAGUUUAACUUCAAACUGAACUCACACAUAUACUGUCUGUAUACAGUGUAACUAAAAAUAACUAAAAUAUAAAUGUAAUGCAUUGUUUUGAAUGUCCUCUGUAGCUUUGCUCUUUGUGUGGCACCGUGCAGUUGAUUCUACAGCGUUGUCCUGCUUUCUCUGCAGCAUUAAUAAACUUUGCUGUCACAUGUU